CCUCCCCACAGCAAGUAAUGUAUUAUCAUAUUAACAGUUCUAAAUGGCCCAAAUGUAACUUCAAACCAGUGACAGAAUUACAAGGGAUAACCGAUUAAGUAAAAAAGUCUCAAGGACCUAAUGAUCAUUCCAGCAUUUAGCACUGGCAGAACCAUUAAUUGAUCAAAAUCAACUUUUCAUACGAAUUCAGAAUCCAUUAAACAGGAUUUGCGGAUACUUUCAAUCUCGACAUUGACAAAUACAACAAUUAUUGCCAAAAUUCUGACCUAUAACAUAUUUAUUGCAACCUCAUGUUUAUAACUAUGAUGGGGUUAUUGUCUCCUCAUUAACCAUCCCCAUACACCUUGCCCAGUUCUUCAAUGAGCAAAUGGAUCAAUAAACACGAGCUUUAGGCGGGAAUGAUUCAAUCUCGUCAUCUAAUGUAUUCAUGUGUACUGGCCUGUAAUUGAGUCGGACUUUUUCAUUCUCCCAAUAUCCCAAAGUAUGCUUCAUCCAAUUUUCAUCAUCUCUUUUAGAGAAGUCUUCACGGGCAUGUGCUCCUCUGCUCUC
This 549-nucleotide unclassified non-coding RNA is filed under the name Hevea brasiliensis (rubber tree). The record is from RNAcentral. Lineage: Eukaryota; Viridiplantae; Streptophyta; Magnoliopsida; Malpighiales; Euphorbiaceae.